GGGACUGUUAGGUUUCUACAUGUUAAUAUUUUCUAGAAGGUUAUCAUUUCGUUGAUUAUAAUAAUUAUGCGAAAUUAAAACAAAUGCAAAAAAUCAAAUUAUACCUUUCUCUCGAAGUUUAGUUACUGCUUAAUUAAAAUAUGCAUAUUAUUUAGUUAAGUUUUCUAUUCAUUGAGUAUCAACUAAUAUAAUUACACUGAAUUGUUGAUAAUUUAUUAAAGUGUUGCCCUUAAAUAACUGGCAAGUUGAAAUAUUUGACAGGUUUAGGUAAAGUUAAAUACAUAAAUUCAAUCUAUGUUUUUCUAAAUCUAAUUACUAGGUACCUUCUGAGAUAUUUUUAUUAACAUGGACGUGGGUUCGAGUCCCACCAGUUCCA
This 376-nucleotide non-coding RNA is filed under the name Liagora brachyclada. The record is from RNAcentral. Lineage: Eukaryota; Rhodophyta; Florideophyceae; Nemaliales; Liagoraceae.